Molecule: ribosomal RNA, 1372 nt
Filed under: uncultured bacterium
Lineage: Bacteria
Description: bacterial SSU rRNA
Rfam family: Bacterial small subunit ribosomal RNA
Source: RNAcentral
GAUGAACGCUGCGUGCGUGCCUAAUACAUGCAAGUCGAGCGAACGGACGAGAAGCUUGCUUCUCUGAUGUUAGCGGCGGACGGGUGAGUAACACGUGGAUAACCUACCUAUAAGACUGGGAUAACUUCGGGAAACCGUAGCUAAUACCGGAUAAUAUUUUGAACCGCAUGGUUCAAAAGUGAAAGACGGUCUUGCUGUCACUUAUAGAUGGAUCCGCGCUGCAUUAGCUAGUUGGUAAGGUAACGGCUUACCAAGGCAACGAUGCAUAGCCGACCUGAGAGGGUGAUCGGCCACACUGGAACUGAGACACGGUCCAGACUCCUACGGGAGGCAGCAGUAGGGAAUCUUCCGCAAUGGGCGAAAGCCUGACGGAGCAACGCCGCGUGAGUGAUGAAGGUCUUCGGAUCGUAAAACUCUGUUAUUAGGGAAGAACAUAUGUGUAAGUAACUGUGCACAUCUUGACGGUACCUAAUCAGAAAGCCACGGCUAACUACGUGCCAGCAGCCGCGGUAAUACGUAGGUGGCAAGCGUUAUCCGGAAUUAUUGGGCGUAAAGCGCGCGUAGGCGGUUUUUUAAGUCUGAUGUGAAAGCCCACGGCUCAACCGUGGAGGGUCAUUGGAAACUGGAAAACUUGAGUGCAGAAGAGGAAAGUGGAAUUCCAUGUGUAGCGGUGAAAUGCGCAGAGAUAUGGAGGAACACCAGUGGCGAAGGCGACUUUCUGGUCUGUAACUGACGCUGAUGUGCGAAAGCGUGGGGAUCAAACAGGAUUAGAUACCCUGGUAGUCCACGCCGUAAACGAUGAGUGCUAAGUGUUAGGGGGUUUCCGCCCCUUAGUGCUGCAGCUAACGCAUUAAGCACUCCGCCUGGGGAGUACGACCGCAAGGUUGAAACUCAAAGGAAUUGACGGGGACCCGCACAAGCGGUGGAGCAUGUGGUUUAAUUCGAAGCAACGCGAAGAACCUUACCAAAUCUUGACAUCCUUUGACAACUCUAGAGAUAGAGCCUUCCCCUUCGGGGGACAAAGUGACAGGUGGUGCAUGGUUGUCGUCAGCUCGUGUCGUGAGAUGUUGGGUUAAGUCCCGCAACGAGCGCAACCCUUAAGCUUAGUUGCCAUCAUUAAGUUGGGCACUCUAAGUUGACUGCCGGUGACAAACCGGAGGAAGGUGGGGAUGACGUCAAAUCAUCAUGCCCCUUAUGAUUUGGGCUACACACGUGCUACAAUGGACAAUACAAAGGGCAGCGAAACCGCGAGGUCAAGCAAAUCCCAUAAAGUUGUUCUCAGUUCGGAUUGUAGUCUGCAACUCGACUACAUGAAGCUGGAAUCGCUAGUAAUCGUAGAUCAGCAUGCUACGGUGAAUACGUUCCCGGGUCU